This 491-nucleotide ribosomal RNA is filed under the name uncultured bacterium. Its description in RNAcentral is "partial 16S ribosomal RNA". It matches the Rfam family "Bacterial small subunit ribosomal RNA", at positions 28 to 506 of the family's 1533-position model. The record is from RNAcentral.
GAUGAACGCUAGCUACAGGCUUAACACAUGCAAGUCGAGGGGAAACGGCAUCGAAAGCUUGCUUUUGAUGGGCGUCGACCGGCGCACGGGUGAGUAACGCGUAUCCAACCUGCCCAUCACUUGGGAAUAACCUUGCGAAAGUAAGACUAAUGCCCAAUGACAUCCCACGAAGGCAUCCGAAUGGGAUUAAAGAUUUAUCGGUGAUGGAUGGGGAUGCGUCUGAUUAGCUUGUUGGCGGGGUGACGGCCCACCAAGGCAACGAUCAGUAGGGGUUCUGAGAGGAAGGUCCCCCACAUUGGAACUGAGACACGGUCCAAACUCCUACGGGAGGCAGCAGUGAGGAAUAUUGGUCAAUGGGCGAGAGCCUGAACCAGCCAAGUAGCGUGCAGGAUGACGGCCCUAUGGGUUGUAAACUGCUUUUAUAAGGGAAUAAAGUGGGUCACGUGUGACUUUUUGCAUGUACCUUAUGAAUAAGGACCGGCUAAUUCCGU